Molecule: ribosomal RNA, 726 nt
Filed under: Pseudomonas koreensis
Lineage: Bacteria; Pseudomonadati; Pseudomonadota; Gammaproteobacteria; Pseudomonadales; Pseudomonadaceae
Description: bacterial SSU rRNA
Rfam family: Bacterial small subunit ribosomal RNA
Source: RNAcentral
UAGAGUGUGAUCCUGGCUCAGAUUGAACGCUGGCGGCAGGCCUAACACAGCAAGUCGAGCGGAUGAAGGAGCUUGCUCCUGGAUUCAGCGGCGGACGGGUGAGUAAUGCCUAGGAAUCUGCCUGGUAGUGGGGGACAACGUUUCGAAAGGAACGCUAAUACCGCAUACGUCUACGGGAGAAAGCAGGGGACCUUCGGGCCUUGCGCUAUCAGAUGAGCCUAGGUCGGAUUAGCUAGUUGGUGAGGUAAUGGCUCACCAAGGCGACGAUCCGUAACUGGUCUGAGAGGAUGAUCAGUCACACUGGAACUGAGACACGGUCCAGACUCUACGGGAGGCAGCAGUGGGGAAUAUUGGACAAUGGGAGAAAGCCUGAUCCAGCCAUGCCGCGUGUGUGAAGAAGGUCUUCGGAUUGUAAAGCACUUUAAGUUGGGAGGAAGGUUGUAGAUUAAUACUGGGCAAUUUUGACGUUACCGACAGAAUAAGCACCGGCUAACUCUGUGCCAGCAGCCGCGGUAAUACAGAGGGACAAGCGUUAAUCGGAAUUACUGGGCGUAAAGCGUGCGUAGUGUUUCGUUAAGUUGGAUGUGAAAUCCCCGGGCUCAACAUGGGAACGGCAUUCAAAACUGCGAGAUAGAGUAUAGAGGGUGGGGAAUUUCCUGUACGGUGAAAUGCGAAGUUAUGGAUAUCAACCUUCAAAGGUGCCAUCCAUAACUUAAGUUUCUAUAU